GAGUUUCACCGCGGACCUGUCAGAGAUACAGAGGUUGUGGGGGCGGGAGACAGAAAGAGAGAGAGAUCCAGAGACCGAGUCUUACGUUGACACGCAGAGAGAAAGACGCAGAGACAGACAAACAAACAGAUAGGAGAGUGUUUAACUGCUGAAGAGAUCUUUUCCCUUCAUGGCUUUUCAAAUGCUACCCAAAUAACCAGCUCCAAAUUCUCUGUCAUCUGUCCAGCAGUCUUACAGCAAUUGAACUUUCACCCAUGUGAGGAUCGGCCCAAGCACAAAACAAGACCAAGUCAUUCAGAAGUUUGGGGAUAUGGAUUCCUGUCAGUGACGAUUAUUAAUCUGGCAUCUCUCCUCGGAUUGAUUUUGACUCCACUGAUAAAGAAAUCUUAUUUCCCAAAGAUUUUGACCUUUUUUGUGGGGCUGGCUAUUGGGACUCUUUUUUCAAAUGCAAUUUUCCAACUUAUUCCAGAGGCAUUUGGAUUUGAUCCCAAAGUCGACAGUUAUGUUGAGAAGGCAGUUGCUGUGUUUGGUGGAUUUUACCUACUUUUCUUUUUUGAA
This 558-nucleotide long non-coding RNA is filed under the name Homo sapiens (human). RNAcentral describes it as "non-protein coding lnc-SLC39A8-1:9". Lineage: Eukaryota; Metazoa; Chordata; Mammalia; Primates; Hominidae. The record is from RNAcentral.